Cyprinus carpio carpio is the source of this 980-nucleotide long non-coding RNA. The record is from Ensembl. Lineage: Eukaryota; Metazoa; Chordata; Actinopteri; Cypriniformes; Cyprinidae.
GUGCUGCUUCAUAUUUUUGUGGAAACCAUGACACAUUUAUUUUUUCCAGGUUUUUCUGUUGAAUAGAAAGUUAAAUAAAAAUAAAAUAAAAAUUAGUUUGAAGUAUCAUAAUAAAUGUCCUUACACUGUCACUUUUGAUGAAUUUCAUCUGUUUGCAAAAAAAAAUAAAAAAUCUUAAAAAAAACAACACCCUUUGAAUAAAUGUAUUAAAUGUAAGCAAUGUAGACAAUUUCCAUUAAUUACACUCCCUUGUGUCGUUACAAAGUAAGACCUUUGUUCAUCUUUGGAACACAACUUAAGAAAUUUUUGCUUUCUGACACUGCAUAGCAGCUGACACAUUCAAGGCCCAGAAAAGUAGUCAGGACAUUGUUAAAAUAGUUCAUUUGAUAUCAGUGGUUAAAGCGUAAUGUUAUGAAGCUAUGAGAAUACUUUUUGUGCACAAAGAAAACUAAAAUAACAACUUUAUUCAAAAAUUUCUUCUCUCGGAUUUAAUCAAAAAUAUCUUAAUUUGUGUUCCAAAGAUGAACAAAGGUCUUACUUUAGUAAUUAAUGACAGAAUUUUCAUUUUUGGGUGAACUAUCCUAACCAAUAAAACUGUCAGUGAAAAACAAAAUGAACAGGCAUCAAUCUAUUCUGAAAGAGAAACUAUUCUAACGUCCCCUUGAUGAGCAUGAAAUGGCACAAAAGGGGGUGGGUCCCAGAGGGGCGUCCCAUUCAAGCCUCUGUGUGAUAGUAAACCUGAUGCGUUGCUGACACUAUCAGCAGAUGUGCGCCAUUUCUACAGAGUGAAGGGGGUCUGGGGCUCAACCUGAGGUUAUUGAUCCUUCACCAGUUCAUUUCAACUUAAUUGUGCUUGAAAUAAGGUGUAUGAAAAACAGCUUGGACAUUCUGUCUAACAUCUCAUUUGUGUUCACCAGAAGAAAUACAGGGCUGCAUCAACAAGAAGACUUCAGACUCUCUAAAGCUGAAUGUGAGGGGUU